This is a long non-coding RNA of Octopus sinensis (East Asian common octopus), 101 nucleotides long. RefSeq lists it as uncharacterized. The record is from RefSeq and is a predicted model, not a curated record. The transcript has 4 exons. NCBI's taxonomy places the organism in Eukaryota, Metazoa, Mollusca, Cephalopoda, Octopoda, Octopodidae.
CUACCACCAUCGUAUUUUCUUGAUCAUCUCUAACUUUUCCUGCAGAGAAUACACUUGUCUGCAUUGUUUAUUAGAAUCAGGCGCGAUUGUACUUCUUUCUG